GCCGCGCUCCUCCUGUCCUAGGGAGCGGGCGAUCGUGGCCGGUGCGUCUCGGCCAUACGAAGAGGCCAGUGGGCGAGCGUGCGCACGAGGCUCUGCUUUUCACGCCCCUCGUGCUGCUGUAACCUUGGAAGAGCCCCUUUUUUCUUCGACUCUGGCUGUUGUGUCCCCUCACGAACUCCGGUCCUGGUCAGCUGCCUUCCCUCCUCCCCGCUUCCCCGGCGGACAGCGGGGACCGGUUAGAACCCGUGCCUCCCGGUCCCCGGUCCCCGGUAGAUUCCAGAGUAAGAAAGCCAGGGCCAGGCUGUCGCCCCUUCUAUCCGCGGCCUGCCGUAUUAUCACCACCCCGCCAAGAAGAAAAGGAAAUCUUUAA
RNAcentral lists this long non-coding RNA (370 nucleotides) under Fukomys damarensis (Damara mole-rat). RNAcentral describes it as "lncRNA (ENSFDAG00000031224.1)". The record is from RNAcentral. Lineage: Eukaryota; Metazoa; Chordata; Mammalia; Rodentia; Bathyergidae.